UUCAUUUCAGUAAUUCAUAAAUUGCCUAACAAUGGUCAUAAGAGGAAAAAAAUUAUAAUAGCGUGCUGCUUUUGCAUUGAGUAGAGCUUUUCAUUGCAUAAAAAGAACAGGAAGAAAUGUUACAGGCUUCCUGCAAGGGAUCUGGGCAUGGAGUGAUAAUUAGAACUAUGUGGAAUGGAUUUCUUAUCCUGGAUCAAGGUUGUUUCUGGGAAUUGCAUGGAUGAUAGAUUAACCCUUUACUUUUAUUAGUUCGGACUCCGGCAAAUCCUUAUCCAAGCCAAACUCAAGUACUAAGCUUUGGCUCAUCGCACCACCGACCCCUCCUGUCUCUAUAUGUACAGAUACUCAUCGGAAGGCUGAUUCUCAGAAACAACGAAACCCAAGCUACUACAAAAAGAUGGCCAGGGACAAUAAUGGAGAAGCAGGAGACUUGUCCUUAAACAUGCUGCCAGAAGGGUGCAUAGCAAAUAUGCUGUCCUUUACAUGUCCUCAAGAUGCUUGCAGGCUGUCUGUUGUCUCUUCCUCGUUCAGGUCUGCUGCGGAAUCUAAUGUCGUUUAGGAGAGGUUCCUGCCCCAUGAUUGUCAAUCUAUCAUCUCUAAUUCUGACAAUCCUCUACUGGUUUCUUCUUCAACUUCUUCCAAGAAACAACUUUAUCUCAGCCUAUGCGACAAUCCUAUCCUCGUUGAGGAUGGUAAAAAGAACUUUUCAUUGGAAAAAACGAGUGGGAAGAAAUUAAAGCUAUAUGCUUUCAGCAAGGGAUCUCGAACUUGCAUGGAGUGAUGCUCCUGAAUAUUGGGAAUGAACUUCUGAUCCUGGCUCAAGGCACCUCUUCGUUUCACUCUCAUGAGUUUCCAUAACACAUUCACUGUUUCCUGCUUUUAUGGUUCUGAUACGUUUUCAUGGUUUCGGACACCACAGGUUUUCCGAAGUGGCUCAGCUUGUUUGGGUGUCUUGGCUUGAAAUCCGAGGCAAAAUCAAUACAAGCAUGCUAUCCCCGGCAACAUUGUACACGGCACACCUUGUAUUCGAAUUGGGUCCAUUUGUUUAUCUUUAAUUUUUGUGUUUGUGAUGCAAAAAAACAUAAUAUGCUCAAACUAUGUUUUUAUAUUGUGAGAUCCACUAAAAAAUUAAGUUUGAAA
This is a long non-coding RNA of Populus nigra (black poplar), 1140 nucleotides long. RefSeq lists it as uncharacterized. The transcript is spliced from 3 exons. NCBI's taxonomy places the organism in Eukaryota, Viridiplantae, Streptophyta, Magnoliopsida, Malpighiales, Salicaceae. The record is from RefSeq and is a predicted model, not a curated record.